GGCGAACGCUGGCGGCGUGCCUAAUACAUGCAAGUAGAACGCUGAAACUUGGUGCUUGCACCGAGCGGAUGAGUUGCGAACGGGUGAGUAACGCGUAGGUAACCUGCCUGGUAGCGGGGGAUAACUAUUGGAAACGAUAGCUAAUACCGCAUAAGAGUAGAUGUUGCAUGACAUUUGCUUAAAAGGUGCAAUUGCACCACUACCAGAUGGACCUGCGUUGUAUUAGCUAGUUGGUGGGGUAACGGCUCACCAAGGCGACGAUACAUAGCCGACCUGAGAGGGUGAUCGGCCACACUGGGACUGAGACACGGCCCAGACUCCUACGGGAGGCAGCAGUAGGGAAUCUUCGGCAAUAGACGGAAGUCUGACCGAGCAACGCCGCGUGAGUGAAGAAGGUUUUCGGAUCGUAAAGCUCUGUUGUAAGAGAAGAACGAGUGUGAGAGUGGAAAGUUCACACUGUGACGGUAUCUUACCAGAAAGGGACGGCUAACUACGUG
RNAcentral lists this ribosomal RNA (497 nucleotides) under uncultured bacterium. RNAcentral describes it as "partial 16S ribosomal RNA". It matches the Rfam family "Bacterial small subunit ribosomal RNA", at positions 28 to 507 of the family's 1533-position model. The record is from RNAcentral.